RNAcentral lists this ribosomal RNA (2111 nucleotides) under Triticum aestivum (bread wheat). Its description in RNAcentral is "partial small subunit ribosomal RNA". Lineage: Eukaryota; Viridiplantae; Streptophyta; Magnoliopsida; Poales; Poaceae. The record is from RNAcentral.
UCUUUUUAUUCUUUUUUAGUAAUAGGAGAGAGACAAAGAGGAGGAGAAGGGGGCGGUGGCGGUGGCGGUGGCGGGCGGUCGGUAGAGGCCGUUCGGCGGCGAGACAUGACAUGACAUGACAUGACAUGUUUCUCCCUCCAACUCACCUCGCCUACCCCUAUGUAUAUGUCUCCCGCGAGCAGAGGCCGGUCGGUCGCGACGAUACGGGGAGACCUACCGGUAGCAGAGACUCGUCGUCGUCGUCGUCGUCCUGACGAAGACGAAGAAGGAGGGGUACCCGUCCCCGUCCCCGUCCCCGUCCCCGUCCCCAUCCUUGGUGGUUCGGGUUGCGGUAGUAGUAGGGGCAGGAGCGGUUCCUAAAGUGUUCCGCCGCCGCGUGGCCGUGUAGUUAAAGGGGAGAGGUGCGCGACGGAGAAAGGUUCCUCCUCCUCCUCCUCCUCCUCCUCCUGUUACGAGAGAACAAGUCGUCGUCGCCGUGACAGCCGUAGCUGGAGUAAGAAGAUCGGGACGGACGUCAGAAUCCGGUCCGGUAGCUGGGGUACCGCGUUGAGUACCUCUGGCGGAUGUAGCCGUUUAAUCCACGAGACCUCGAUCGUAGCCGACCGUAACCACAGCGAUAAAAAUUGUAGGACAGGUUCUAAAAGUUGUAGGGGAACAACUCGUAUCGUUGGAGUAAACACCGUCUCCUGUAAAGGUUCUUGCGAUGGUUCGUAAGAUGAAGUCCGUUUGACGUCGACGGUAGGCACAGCAGCCGAAACCAAAAUCGACGACGCUAACCAUGUUAGCUUCGUAACCGUAACAAGGAUCCUAGUCCUGACAAAGAAUUUGAUUACCCGCACAGUGGACGGAGAGGCUACAUACGAAGACGCGCCGAGAAAGAAAGCGACUCUCGGAAUCCUCGUGGACGUUUACACUAAUACAAUCGUCACGUCCCAUAGAAAGCACCUAAGUUCCUAUGUUUCUGAGGGCAUGAAAAAUAUCCAAACCCGUUAGAAAGUCGGCACCGGGAAGAAGGCGAUGAAUAUAUACCAAAAUUCGAACCAUAUUGUCCUCGGCGUUAAAGCUGUCAGCGUAGGGUCAUGUAAUAACGGUAAAACGAAUACACCAGAGAUUCAUUUUCUCGACAAGACGAAGGAGGUUUCUACCUGGUCAAUCUCAAGCCACCUAUAAAUUUUAGACCACCGUACGAUAACCCUGCUUGGGAGAGUUAAGACAAUUGAUACUGGUAGCCAUGUAGCUACCGACGAGCUGUUCCGGGUUGUCGAUACCGACGAGUAGUCUAAACAAACGUUCAUACCGAACGACAUAGAGACGAACGUCUGCGGAAUCGUCAAAGACGGGUCCGAGACUAUCGUUCGAGAAUACGUUAUAACCUGAUGUUUUCCCAGGUCUUCCAACGCUACAUAAGAGACGUCUAUCCUGAUCGAUCGCCCAAUCGAAACCGUCAACCGGACAUAUAGAGUAAACCAUCAUAUCGUUUCGAUAAAUGGUUACUGGGAGUCCAGGAUCGCCAACACUCGAGGACACGUAACAAACAGACACGGUCAGUUGGUCAAUUACGGAACCGUAAGUAGAAACUACCGGAGGUAAUACCGCAGAGUCUAAAACUGAUACAGCGAGUUCGAUGCUAACACCAACCCCACUAUAGUAGCAACCAGAACAAUAUACGAGGUGCACAGAAACCGGACCGGCCUCAGACCCGACCAAACUGUUGUGAGUACCCUAACGCGUACCGACGUCCGUAGGACUCCAACGAUACCUUUAGUCCUGGAACCAGGAAAAACGUGCUCCUUGGUCUUUGGUUCAACGUCCGCGUCGGUGAACGUAGUAUUCUUAAGUACAGCUCGGUCGCGUCCCUCUCGACGUACCCGUCUACGUCAACUCCUUACUUCUUCGUGUUCGAUUUGGUUGUUCGACGAUUCGAUUCUCCUAACAGUAAUCAAAACAGUGAAAACACGCACACACAUACAUUUAUUCUCCUCCUCCUAAUAAAGUAAACUACAACGGUCGUACGUACGUCAAAUAAGUAAAUAAACAAACAAGAUUAAUACUCGUACGUAAAGAUUACUAUACCUUUCAUACCUUCUUUACACUCAACAUCAUAGGGCCCA